AGAGUUUGAUCCUGGCUCAGGAUGAACGCUAGCGACAGGCCUAACACAUGCAAGUCGAGGGGCAGCGCGGAAAUAGUUUACUAGUUCUGGCGGCGACCGGCGCACGGGUGCGUAACAGGUGUGCAAUCUGUCCAUAGUCGGGGAAUAGCCCACCGAAAGGUGAAUUAAUGCUCCAUGUGAGUGAAAGCCGCAUGACUUUCAUUUAAAACGUAAGGACUAUGGGUGAGCACGCUUCUGAUUAGAUAGUUGGUGAGGUAACGGCUCACCAAGUCGACGAUCAGUAGGGGUUCUGAGAGGAAGGUCCCCCACAUUGGAACUGAGCCAUGAUCAAACUC
RNAcentral lists this ribosomal RNA (335 nucleotides) under uncultured Bacteroidales bacterium. Its description in RNAcentral is "bacterial SSU rRNA". It matches the Rfam family "Bacterial small subunit ribosomal RNA", at positions 8 to 338 of the family's 1533-position model. The record is from RNAcentral. Lineage: Bacteria; Pseudomonadati; Bacteroidota; Bacteroidia; Bacteroidales.